RNA transcript from Cajanus cajan (pigeon pea), 2393 nucleotides. It is a transcript of the gene named ARM repeat superfamily protein, with no coding region annotated. The record is from RefSeq and is a predicted model, not a curated record. NCBI's taxonomy places the organism in Eukaryota, Viridiplantae, Streptophyta, Magnoliopsida, Fabales, Fabaceae.
ACCAGCAUCCUAUACCGAAACUGGGCGCACGAAGAAGACCCACUCCGCACUAACCUAACCCGCCGCCGCUGCUAAGCCUCGCCACCGUCACACAAACCCUCUGCUGCUCCGUUGGUGUUGGCGCAACCGCAAACACCUCCGCUGCUCCGCUCUUCGCUGUCCAUUAGAACACGUCUUAGAAGGAGAAACAAGGGUGAUCAACUUGGUCGUCAAUUAGCACAGUUCAUACUGCUUUCACGGACAAGACAGUUUUUAACAUCAGCCAUGAGUGGUGAUGCAGCAUAUUUGGAGCACCCUAUAUCAGAGGAUACACUUCAAUUACUCUUUGAAGCUUCCAACUGUUCUAACUUGGAAAAGUCCUUAGAGAUUCUCAUUCAGAAUGCCAAAACAGAUUCAGGGCGUUCGGAACUAGCUUCUAAAAAGAUUCUCCCUGCAGUACUUAACAUAGUUCACUCACUCACUCAUGCUUCACAUCAUCGUUGUCAUAAUGAUAUUCUUUCUUUGUGUUUCAAGCUCCUCAGAAACUUGUGUGCUGGAGAAGCUGCAAACCAGGGCUCAUUUCUUGAGCAAAAUGGGGUAGCUGUUGUUUGCAGUGUUUUGAGGUCAGAGGCUGGUUCUUCAGGCCCUGAUCAUGGGUUGGUCCGGUGGGGUUUGCAGGUUCUGGCAAAUGUUUCUUUGGCAGGGAAACUGCAUCAGCAUGCUAUUUGGGAAGAGCUGUAUCCGGUUGGUUUUGUAUCACUUGCUAGACUUGGCACCAAGGAGACUUGUGACCCGUUGUGUAUGGUGAUUUUUACGUGUUGUGAUGGAAACCCUGAAUGGUUUAAAAAGCUGUCCAGCGAUGAUGGCUGGCUUGUAAUGGCAGAAAUUGUGAGAACUGCUUCUUCUGCUAGUCUCGGUGAGGAUUGGUUGAAGUUGCUCCUUUCAAGAAUCUGCCUUGAAGAAUCUCAAUUGCCGGGGUUGUUUUCGAAAUUACAGUUUGUGGAUGUUCCCAAGGGUGAAGUUACUGAGUCAAAAGAUAGUCAAUUUUCAUUUGAACAAGCAUUUCUUCUGCGAAUCUUAUCAGAAGUCUUGAAUGAGCAGCUUAGAGAUGUUACUGUUUCAAAGGAAGUUGCAUUGUUUGUUUUUGGAAUAUUCAAGAAGUCAAUUGGGGUUCUUGAGCAUGCAAUGAGAGGGAAAUCUGGUCUGCCUAGUGGCUUUGCUGGGGUAGACGUUCUUGGCUACUCUAUUACCUUAUUGAGGGACAUUUGUGCUCAAGACGGUAUGAGAAGUAAUAAAGAGGAUGCAAGUGAUGUUGUUGAUGUGCUAUUGUCAUAUGGCAUCAUAGAGUUGCUUUUGUUUUUGCUUGGGGCCCUUGAACCUCCAGCAAUAAUCCGAAAAGGACUCAAACAGUUUGAGAAUCAAAAUGGUACUAGUUGUUCCUCAAAACCAUGCCCUUACAAAGGCUUCAGGCGAGACAUAGUUGCACUUAUUGGCAAUUGUGUUUAUAGAAGGAAGCACGCACAAGAUGAAAUCCGGCACAGGAACGGAAUUCUACUGCUAUUGCAGCAGUGUGUUACUGAUGAUGAUAAUCCUUUUCUGAGAGAAUGGGGCAUAUGGUCUGUGAGGAAUUUGUUGGAGGGAAAUGAUGAGAACAAAAAGGUAGUUGCUGAGUUGGAGAUUCAAGGAUCUGCUGAUGUGCCUGAAAUUACUGCACUUGGUCUCCGUGUGGAAGUUGAUCAGAAAACUAGACGUGCAAAGCUUGUAAACGUCCCAUGAAAGAUCACUAUAACUUGGCGUCUGUGCAUUUCGGUCUUUCGUAGUGUGGUCCCUUGGUUGAUUUUAGAAUUCCUGUCGAUACUCAUGAUAAAUUAUCAAGCAACAUCAGAUGGGGGAGGAACAUAAUCUACAAAGUAAAAGACACAUAAUCACCAAAGAGAAUGAUUAAACCCUAAAUCAAGAUUAUGCUUUUUCAAGUAGAUUGGCAGUGAUGUUACUUUUUAUAUCAUACUUGGUGGCACUAUUUAUUACAAAACAAAUUGCGUUUCACAUUGUGAAUGAGGUUUCGUGGUGUCUCAGGUUUUUUUGGUCGAAGCAGUGGACUCUGUUGUUAAUGUUCUGCAGUUUGUCAAGUAAUUGAAGCUGUGGAAACUUGGAAGAGAUGCGCCAGGCAGAACAAAGACUGCCACUCCUUGGAUUUUUUGUCCAAUGUAAUCUUUUCAAUUUUGUAUGUAUGUAUAUUAUUAUUAUUAUCAUUAUUAUUGAUAGUAAAGUCCAUUUUUUUGGUUUGUUUUAGCUGUUCUAUUGGAUGGUAAUUGUGUUGUGCAAUUUAGAUAUGCAUCAUGUCAAUUAAAUAUUGCGGCGAAAUGGUGUUUCUGAUACGUUAGACUUACCGAUUGAGAAAUAAGUUUAUUACA